Molecule: ribosomal RNA, 795 nt
Filed under: uncultured bacterium
Lineage: Bacteria
Description: bacterial SSU rRNA
Rfam family: Bacterial small subunit ribosomal RNA
Source: RNAcentral
AGAGUUUGAUCCUGGCUCAGACUGAACGCUGGCGGCAUGCCUAACACAUGCAAGUCGAACGGCAGCGCGGGGGCAACCCUGGCGGCGAGUGGCGGACGGGUGAGGAAUACAUCGGAAUCUACCCUGUCGUGGGGGAUAACUAGCCGAAAGGUUAGCUAAUACCGCAUACGACCGAGAGGUGAAAGCGGAGGACUCGCAAGGGCUUCGCGCGAUUGGAUGAGCCGAUGUCGGAUUAGCUAGUUGGCGGGGUAAAGGCCCACCAAGGCGACGAUCCGUAGCUGGUCUGAGAGGAUGAUCAGCCACACUGGGACUGAGACACGGCCCAGACUCCUACGGGAGGCAGCAGUGGGGAAUAUUGGACAAUGGGCGCAAGCCUGAUCCAGCAAUGCCGCGUGUGUGAAGAAGGCCUUCGGGUUGUAAAGCACUUUUAUCAGGAACGAAAAGGUUUCGGUUAAUACCCGGGACUGCUGACGGUACCUGAGGAAUAAGCACCGGCUAACUUCGUGCCAGCAGCCGCGGUAAUACGAAGGGUGCAAGCGUUAGUCGGAAUUACUGGGCGUAAAGCGUGCGUAGGUGGUUUCUUAAGUCCGUUGUGAAAGCCCUGGGCUCAACCUGGGAACUGCAGUGGAUACUGAGAGGCUAAAGUGUGUCAGAGGAUGGUGGAAUUCCCGGUGUAGCGGUGAAAUGCGUAGAGAUCGGGAGGAACAUCAGUGGCGAAGGCGGCCAUCUGGGACAACACUGACGCUGAGGCACGAAAGCGUGGGGAGCAAACAGGAUUAGAUACCCUAGUAGUCC